AUAUUAACACUGAAAUUUUGAGAAUCACUAGUUUCCAACUUGGCUUGAAGUUUAUAUUACUGAUGAAAAUACUGAAUUUUUGCAUCAUCAACUAUGCAAUAAACAGAAUAAGCAUUAAAGUGCCUGCCAAAAUAUACUUUGAGUAAAAACAGAAUUUCAUCAGUUAACUUGACAAUCAGAUCAUAAAUGUGCUUUAAUGCUUUAAUGCCACCAGUUUGUGGUCUAAAAUAGGCAACAGAAUUGUACAAUGAAGAAGUAUGCUUACCUAACACAUAAGGAAUAGAAUUUGUUACAUCAAUACCAAAGGUAAAAAUAAAAAUUAAAAACAGUUAAAUUUUAAGUGGUUUCAUAUUAGAAGGGCCUAAAUAUUUGACCAUUAUAACCAAUUGCUAAAAGAAUCAGUUUAGGCCAGGAUGUGCAUUUUGCCUGAUCCCAAUUCCAGGGGCCAUCCUUCACAUCGCAGUUAAAUUUGCAACCCCUGGAGCUGUAUAGUACAGCUCAUACAACUGUACACAGCAGCCCUGAUCACUAUUAUCUGUCGUUCAUUGAACAUGUACUAUAUUGCAGACACUGUGCCAAGCACUUUCCACAGAUAAUCCCAGGAAUUUUCAUAACAACCUUUUCAAGUUUUGCUGUGUGUCUUUUACAUGGAAGGAACUGAGGUCCAGAAACUACCUUGAGGAAGUUUAUCAGGGGAAAAGUAGAGUCUACUUUGAGUACCUUUUUCAAUUCUUGUGGGUAUAUACCUAACAAUAGAAUUGCUGGAUCUGUUAUUAUACUCAUUGUACGGAUAAGAAAACUGAGGCUUAGCAAUAAUAAGUAAUUUGUCCUAAGGUGAAAGGGCGGGAAAGGGGUGGAUUACAGUUUGAUUCCCUUUGAAAAGAGAGUUUCGCUGCUUUAAUAGGUCUUUGCAGACCAUAAAAAAGGUAGUGGAAGAGAUAAUAUCUUAAAUAACUUUAACAGUGGGAAAAUAUCUACUCAAAGACCGUACCAGUCACAUGAAUCAUGGCCUAUAUUCUAAUGCAAUGGUUUUCAGUUACAUUUUACUUGAGUUUUUGGAGGGGGAGGAGCAGAGUUGGUACUGUUCUUGGGGACACACACGAGAACUGCCUGGAAGAGUUCUUUCAAGUUCUAUGGCAUGCAUCACCCAUCUUCCCCAUAGAUGUGAUUUUUUUUUCACACUGCCCUAGUGGUGGGACCCCUACCCAUACUGAGCAACUACUCCUCACAGGAGUGGGAUAUAUCCAGUGGCAUCCAAAACCAACCAUAUUCAUGCUUAGGAUUUUCAUUCACCCUGAACUGCAGUCCAGUUCAUUCACUCUAAGCUUUAGACAUCUGUACUCUCUGAAUCUCUCUACCAGGAGGUCCCACAGCACCUCAAACACAACAAGACCAAAAUUCAACUUAUCUUUAUCCAUAAAAUGGCUGAUUUCUCCUCCUAUAAUCUUUUAUGUCGGUAUCACUAUGACUCCAAAUUAGCACGUAGUGGAUGUUCACUAAAUAACUGUCACAUGAACAAAUGAAUCAACUUCUGGACCCAAGAGAGAAGAGACUAAGAUAGGAAGGAGGAGGGCUGGUGAGCAUAUGUCUUACAGGACUGCAUUUUCAGUGCUCCCAAAUCUAGUCUACUGGGCAUUGGCCCUCAACCUCAGCAGCACAUUCGAAUCAUCUAGGGACCUUGCAAUAAAUAUUGAUGCCUGGAUCCCACUCCCAGAAAUUCCCGUGUAAUUUGUUGGGGUGUGGCCAAGGCAUCAUGAGUUUUCAGAGCUCUCCAGGUGAUUAUCAUGUGCAUCCCAAUUGAGACCCACUUAUUAGCUGUUACUAAACCUGAAGUGAUCUUUUCCUGGGCCUCUUGCAUCUUCUUUCUUAAUUGAAUUCAGUGACACUCUAAAUCUAGAGCUACCAAACAUUGCUAGUCACUAAAGACAGCCCUAAAAUGCUUGGACUAAAGAAAGAUCCGGAUUGUUGAUAUUACCUUAAGUAUCAAAAUCCCCAUUGACUGAUGGGAGCACUUUGAUUUAUAAGAAAAGGCACAUGGGGCUUAGGAGACAAACUAGCAUGGUAUAUGAACUCUCCCUUACCGCCUCCCUCACACUUUCCAAAUUUUCACAGAAGCCUCCCUCACUACAUUCAGUCUUAGAAUAGGAACAUAGUUUAUUUUUGUAAAAUCAAACAAAUU
This 2179-nucleotide long non-coding RNA is filed under the name Homo sapiens (human). RNAcentral describes it as "non-protein coding lnc-ATXN7-14:1". The record is from RNAcentral. Lineage: Eukaryota; Metazoa; Chordata; Mammalia; Primates; Hominidae.